GCAUCUUGGUUCUUAUUUUUUCCCCAUUCCUACCCCUCCCUUCACCCCCUCCACCCUUCCCUAUUUACAAAGACUUUAUUUCCAUUUUUUCCAUUUCUCAUCGUUUUUCCUUUCCCUUCUUUCCUUUCCCCUGUCUCUCCCACUACCCCUACCCCUUUGGACCUUUUCUUCCUAUUUUACAUUAUCGAUUAUUCAUUCUAAUCAUUGGUACAUUUUAGGUAUGCAACAUAAUGACAUUCAUCAUUGGAAAUUUGCACCUUUACAUAGCCUCUCUUGGUUCUUGUUUUUCACCCUUGCCCAGCCCUCCCUUCAACCCCUCCAUUCCUCCCUAUUUACAAAGAUUUUGUUCCUAUUUUUCCACUGUCUCAUAUUAAUCCCAUUCCCUUCUAUCCUUUCCCCUAGCCCUCCCACUUCCUUCCCCUCUGCCCCUUUUCUUCCUAUUUCACAUUACCUAUUAUACAUUUAGUCCUUAUUUACACUUUCAGUUUCUCACACCAGAGAAACUAUUCGGUAUUUACAUAUGUGUGUCCUAUUUAUUUCACUUAAGAGGAUGGCCUCAAUGUGCAUCCAUUUAGCUAUAAAUGUCUCUAAUUUCUCAUUCUUUAUGGCUGAGCAGUACUCCAUUUUAUAAAAAACCCACAUUUUCUUGAUCCAGUCUCCAGUUGAUGGGCAUUUGGGCUGUUUCCAAGUUUUAGCUAUCACAAACUGUGCUGCUAUGAACAUGGGCGCCCAUCUAUCACUGUGGUAUGAUCCCUUUAAUCCUUGGGGAAGAUCCCCAGCAGUGGAAUAUCCCCUGCUUUUAUUUCUGACCGUGACAUUUGUUUCACAGUAUUGGUGUAUGACUCAGGGUCGCCCUCUGGUGGUCACCCCUGAAGGUCACUCCCCUCACCUUCUGUGUUGGGGUGCGAAAAGCAGGUAAUAAUGGUCAUAUAUUACACAGCAUUGUGGGAUCUAGAAUAUCACUAUGUGCACCUUAAAAUGCGGAAACAGAGGCACAGAGUGACUUAGAGUCACACAACCACCAAGUGGCAAUGGCAGAAUUUGAGCUUGGGCAUUGCAGCUCCAGAGCAGGCUUGGACUGGCAUUACUCCCCACCAUCACCAUCAAACCAAAUCAAGAGGCCAGUACGGUGGGCUGUGGAGGUGAGAAAUAGCAUGAGGGUCUGGCAGGGGCUCCAUGAGGGAAGGGUCAGGGGCUCUCACCUUGGCAGGCUGGGCAGCAGUCUCCAGGCCUCAGAACUGGCUCGGGGCAGGGACUGGGUGGGCACUUCAUGGGCACACAGCGAACCAGGCUCCUCUGUAAUGCACCAAUAGCAGUAGCCACCCUCGGGUCUCCCAGCAGGUAUGGGGCGGGCAGGUGUCAGGCAGGGAUGGAGGGAGGGCCUCACUGGUACCAGCUCUCAAAAGGCAUAUUAUAAAUGGCUAAAAGAGUGGCUGGCAUGGCCCAGCCUGGGGCCUGGGCAGUGGUGGCAGAGGACUCACCAGGCAGGAGCACUGGAGACAAGGGUUGGAGAUGGACAGGAAGCUGGCCCCCUCUUCGUGAAGCCGCCCCUCAUACUCACAGCCUGGGGAGGGUUGCCAGGGUGAUAGGUGCGUCACUAGAGAGCAGGGGUGAGCAUCCCCAAGGGAUAGUACGACCCCAAGUGGGAACUGGACGCACUGGGGGUAGGGAGAAGGAGGGGUGGGCGGAGUGGGAGGUCACCUGGCCGGCAGAUGGGGCAGCACUCCCUGGGUGGGGUGUAGCUCUCCAGACAGUUGAGCUCAGAGCAUGAGGGCCCCUGGCACUGCACGGUCCCUGCCUGUGGGUCAAGACACUCAGCCCCGCCUCCUCCCUCCCCACUGCCCGAGCCAGAGGACUCUUCAGGCCUUUGGCCUAGCAGGCUCCAGGCCUCAACACCUGGGUGGAGGCAGAAGCCUGGCCUGGCCUCCAGAUUAGGAUGGGUAGGAUCAGGCCUGGGGCAGCAGGGAUGCAGGUGAUAGCCGGGGCGAGGCCCUGAUUCUCUUACCUGGCAGGUGCAAGUGACACAGGGCUCUGGAUGCCACGUUUCCCCUGACCUGUGGCCCUCAGGGCAGCCUGCAAAACCGGACUCAGAGGGCUGGGUGCCACAUCACAGGGCCACCAUUCAGGACCCAGCUAUCAGAGUUUUAUAUUUACUACACCUUUCCAGCAGGUGACAGUCAAGUGUCUAACUGAUGGAAACAAUGUAUUUAUUUAUUUAUUCUUAAUUUUUUGAGACAAGGUCUUGCUAAGUAGUUAAGGCUAUCCUUGAACUCACUAUGUAGCCCAGGCUGGCCUUAAACGUACAGGAAUCCUCCUGCCUUAGCCUCCAGAGUGCUGGGAUCAUGGGCAUGCAUCACCACACCUGGCUCCUCGAUGUAUUUAUUUUACAACAGAUUGGACUAAAGUGCCUUUAAAGGGGUGUCUUUCUUUUAAAUGAAAGGCCACCAUUACUCCAUGGAUCCAACCAGUCACCAAUCCCUGCACAUUCUUUAGAAACACUUUGUUAUUUGCAGCCUCCUACCAUCUCUGGCUCCAUGCCUAGACAAGGACUGUAAAAGCCCCCAACUGGUCUCUCUGCAUCCAGCCCACACCAGCUGAAUAUUCCUAAACAUUAUAUUUGAAUAUGUCACACUCUGGCUCUUCAGCCUUCAAAAGUUCCCUACUGCCCACAGAAGAAAGCCCAACUGCAGGGCUUAUCACAGCCUGUUUCCACUGGCCCUCCUGGACUGAUUCUUGGAAUACAUUUCUCCCUGCCUGGUUCCUAUUCAGAGGGACCUCAAGUUCUCCUUCUCCUGGAGAAAUCCCACCUUCCCUUGAAGAUCCAGUGCAAAUGACCCCUGGGCUACAAAGGCCUUCCUAACUGCCUACCUGCUCAGAUGGGUGUCCCCUGCCCUCCUGUUCCUUCCUCUGGGAAAGCAUGCACUGUCUUCUACAUCUCUCUUUUUUUUUUUUUUUUGGUACCGGGGAUUGAACUCGGGUCCUUGUGCUUGCGAGGCAGGCGACAGAACCACUGGGCUAAAUCCCUGGCCCAUGUCUUCUACAUCUCCUAAUCUGUUCAUUGGAUCUUAAAUCUUGUGAUAGAUUAGCUGUAAAUUUAUCUUCUCAACUAGACCAGAAGCUCCUCAGGGUCCUGAUAAUCUUUGAUGCAUCCCAGGGCAGCGUCAGCAUUUGCUGGCUCCAGCUCAGCUCAGCACUCACCAGGCACCAUCACAGGGUUUCUUCAGCUCUGCUCUCUCUCUCUGUCAGGUCCCCCAGGGCACAACCAGGAGGGAGGGCAGGGCCUGUAGCAUGCUGACCUGGUUCACAGUGUGGGCAGCAUGCUCCCAGCUCAGGGCAGGGUGCUCUUGGGCAUGGCUUCUGGGUACAGGUGAUGGCCCCUUCCUGUGGAAGCAGCUAGGGUGACUGCAGGGCCUUCCGAACUCCAGACUCACCCCAGGCAGGAAUGUGUCCAGAAGCAGAGGAUGAGCUGGCUCAGCAUACAUGCUACCCCAGCCCAAGGGCAGAAAAGAGAUGUCCCAUCCACCCCACCAUUCCUGAAGCCCUUGACCCCUUGGAACCCGCUUCUCCAGGUGCCAGCAACUUCCCCAGAGUGGAGAGAUCCUAGGAAGAGAACCCAGGGCUUUCUCAGUGGAGGAGUAGGAAAGAAAAGGCCAGGAGAAAAGGCCAUGGAGGAAGUGACAGAAAGCAGGCAGUGGAAAUGUGAGGUAGCAGAUGAGGUGGGGUGAGGGCAACAGCGCUCGUCACACAGGAGAGGGUUUGAGGAAAGAAGAUAGUAACUACAUCCUCUGGCCCCCAUGCCACUCUUUGUCAAGGCAAAAUCAAGGGGCUUGAGGCUUGGGGGGGGGUUGCACUUCAGACAGCAGACCCCCAGAGAAUCAGCCCAAGGCCACCAGGGGCAAGAACCCAUCACACAAUAUCCAGUCCCAGCACCUAGUGAUGGGGAGCUGGAGGGAGGGCGUGGGAACUCACCAGGCAGAGGCAGGAGGUGCAGGUGUCUGGGGAGAACGUCUCCCCAUUACCACAGACCUGACCAUUGUGGCUGCAGCCUGAGGAGGAGACAGUGUGGCACUCAGGCCCAACACCAUCUCCAGGCCCUGAAGUGGCUCAGUGGGUAGAUUGGGUGGCACUAACGUUGGCAGUGGGGCAGCUCGGGCCGAGGGCCACAGCGUGCUGCCCCGUCCUGGCAGAUGCAGGCUGUGCAGGCAUUGGGCUCCCAGCAAGACCCCUCAGGCCAGGCGCGCCCAAGCCCCCAGCACUGGACAGAGGCAGGGCGGCAUUCACAGGACUCCAGCCGCCUCACUCUGGCCUGCAGGUCCUCAUUCUGGGGAAGAGAUGGGACUACAGCUCAGCCUUUCCAUGUCUCAUGGAUUCAUGAGGUGCAAAAACGGAGUCAGGAUGAGAAUUUGACAACUCCACGGCAGAGGCCGGUCUCCUUCUGUCAGCAUCCGUCUCACAUGGUUCUCAGGGAGCACAGGUCCAUCCUUGGGCAGAAAGGGCAGCAGUCCCCACCCUCACCCCGUGCCUGGCAGGUGCUUCAUUAUGAAGGGCACGGAAAUCCACACACCACAAAUACUCUGGAGAUUCUUCACUCAUGAGAGAAUGGAUGUUAAAGACUGUUCAGAUGAGAUCUUCUCUGUGUGCUUUUGAAGUGAAACUAUUUUAGGGUCCCCAGGGACCCCCAACCCUCUCUUCUCCUCCCAGUAUGCAAAAGUCCACCCCACCCCAAACAUGCAGCCCUGCCUCUAUGGUACCUGCUCUCUGAGCUUGGGCACCUCAGCCUCCAGCCACCCCAGCCGUUCCUCCAAGGGGUGCCACUGUUUCUGGGGGCUCCCAACAGGGAGUGGGCAGGUGACUGAGGAGUGGGCAGGUGCCUGCUGCUGGUAGCCAUGGAUAUCAGCAAGCCUGGGAGUCUCCCUGAGGAUAGCUUCACCUGAAGGGCACAAGAAUCCACCGGAGGUCGAGUGCUGCUUCUGUCCUCUAAACGCAGGGGAGGGUCACUUUGUACCCCACCACCCAGGCAAGGAGACAUGGUCUGUUUUGUUUUGUUUUUUCCUUUUUCCUUUGGUUUUUUUGAGACAGGGGCUCAUUAUGCAGUUCAGGCUGACCUUGAACUCACUAUGUAACCUAGGCUGGCCUCGAACUUGAAGUGAUCCUCCUGCCUCAGCCUCCUAAGUACUGGGAUAACAGGUAUGCGCCACCACACCCAGCUUUAUUUUAUUUUUCAUACAGGCUGUCCUUGAAUUCACCAUGUAGUCCAGGCUGGCCUCAAACUCAAGGCAACCCUCCUGCCUCAGCCUCUUUAGUGCUGGGAUUACAGGCGUGCUCCACCACACCGGGCUAGGUCUGUGAGAGUUGAAAGCUGGGGCAGGACAUGUAAGAAGUAAGGAAACCUGGAGGAGACAAAAGUGGUCCAGACCAGUUUUCUCUUCUUGUCCUCGUGACCCCCAGGGACACUGACCCGCAGGGAGUUACAGAGCAGUACCAGACCAGGGCCUCCCUGCAGCCUGG
Molecule: long non-coding RNA, 5508 nt
Organism: Heterocephalus glaber (naked mole-rat)
Lineage: Eukaryota; Metazoa; Chordata; Mammalia; Rodentia; Bathyergidae
Source: Ensembl